Molecule: ribosomal RNA, 3074 nt
Filed under: Triticum aestivum (bread wheat)
Lineage: Eukaryota; Viridiplantae; Streptophyta; Magnoliopsida; Poales; Poaceae
Description: partial small subunit ribosomal RNA
Source: RNAcentral
UACCGAGGAGGUGGUUUCGGCGACGGUGACGGAGGGCCGAUGAAGAGGGUUUUCCGGCGACUCCACGUUUGGAGAAGGCGGUAAUGCAACUCAAGAGACAGGGGAUGGUAGUACUGAUGCGGCUAGAGGAAGUGCCUAUGUUAACGACUACAAUCGGGGAAAUAGGGGAAUAUAUCAAAGUAAGUAGGUAACGUUGGCCCCCGGCCGCCCGUCGUCCCGUUGCCGGCAGCGGCAGCGGCAGCGGCAGCCGGGCCGGUGGGUGAAGUGGUGUGGUGUGGUCCACCCCGAAGGAGGGGGAAGGAAAUGCGCUGCACAGUAGUGGGUUGCACGUCGACGAAAGGAGGGAGGACGAGGCGGCCCUAGGUGAGGUAGAGAGGGGGAGAGGGGGAUUUUAGUUUAGUUUUCUUUGUUUUAUAGAGAUGAGGAUUAAUUAGGUCGGUUAGACAAUUAAUUAAUUUAGCCCAAUUGAUUUAAGGAAAGGACUAGGAGCGAAUGUCGAGUCCGGCCUAAGCGUCGUCGUGCCGUGUCGGUCGUUUUAAGGAAGGAACGAGGGGGGAGGGAGGGCGUAGAGGAGGAGGAGGAGAGCGCAGCCGGCGGGCGGCGCUUAGGUAGGUAGGGGGAGGGGCGGCGUUGCGUUGCCCCCAGCCCCAGCCCCAGCCUCCCCCUGUCCGUCCCUCCUCCUCGAUGCGUUCGGAGCUUAGAGGGCUGGGGGGUGUCCCCGCCCCCGAUGUUUACCGGCGGCGACGGCUCGGCUGGCCUCCGCCCCCUCCGCUGCUCCAGCACCUCCUCUAGUUUCCUCCUCCUCCUCUCCCCCGGCGCCGCUGCCGCUGCCGCUGCCGCCGCCGCGUGUUGCCGCUCGCGGGGUGGCUGCUGCGGGGACCGGGGAGGCGCGGGCGCCGCAGGUGGAGAAGGCGGAGUCUAUUGCCUUUGGAGGUAUCUAGUUCGUGAUACGGUCCCCACUAGUUGCUAUGGCUCUAUUGACGACUUUGAUGUCCGGGUAGUUUAGACCUUUCCAGUUUUUGACUCUCCGCGUUUGUUUUAUUAGGUCGACUACUAGGAUGAUUUGUCAAUAACCUACUAUUCUAAAGGUAUUCCUUUUUCGAGUUUUACAAUUUAGCUUAUCGAUGUCACUUCCUACUACCUUGACACCAACAAUUACAUGGUUCAUGAGAUCUUCGCUGAGGUUAACUGCAACCUCGUCACCUACCGAUACUCCUACAACAACAACUUCUUAGUAAUCUACCUAGUCUAUAUGGUAUGUCUGGAGGUUAUGUCUAACAAUAUGAAUAGCACCCAUGUUCCCCUCUGCAAGUCGGUAAACAACGUUAUCCUUUUGCGAAUGUCCUAAUACCUGUGGCACACUCUAAUCGGUGAGUACGAUUGAUAUUCCUCAAGUAUGAGUGUCGACCCGACCUCAAAAAAGGUGACCCACCUCUAGGUUUUCAUGAACGACUUAUGUACCACUUCUUAUUUCCCAAGGAUGGAAGUCCGGGUAGUCUUUAAGGACAAGUUUCUUUUGUUUACUUUCUUUAAUAUAAAAGGGAUGACGGACGUACGUUCCUAGGACUGGGACUAUGGCCAUAACGAAAGUUUCACCUACGUUAAUAACGCUUGGGUGGUCGUAUACCUGUAUGUGUACACCGUCUCCGUGAUUUUCAUGGGUAAGUAUAUAAGAAAUGGUACGGUACCUGCGGUUGAUCGCUUAAAGGAGUAGGAGAAAGAGCUCACUUUUGUAGUCGACCUAUAGCUGAAAGAAUGGUUUAACAACUGAGAUACUAAACCGAACCCUAUGCACUAUACUAUUUGCUUAAGUCCUUUUUCUUCAACUUCGACGCAGGUCAUUGUAUGGAUUCACCACGUGUCCCAAGACCUUCACUGUAAGGAGUACCUAUGUAGACCUCGGGAGUGGAACAGGGUUUUGGCUUUCUGACCCCGGGGUUCUAGCUACAACAACCUAAAACGAAAGAGCUAGAACGCAGACUAAUGCAUGGUGGACUUCUUGAACACUUUACCGAACUUCGCCCACUGUUUGGGUAAAUACAACCAAAACCAUCGGAAGGUCAAGUUCUAGGUCGUUUCUACUGACUUUGGUAACAGUUCCGUGAGCUUUACUGACCUGUCUCUCCAUAGUAAUUGUUCCCAACCCCACCGGAGCCUUGUAACCGUCUUGGUUUUCUAAGGUAUAUACAAGAACUGUUGACGGGAGUGCUGACCGAAAAGGACGUCACAUUCCGUCACCAUGUGGUACCACCACGACCUUGCUGCCGACGGCCGGACUUUCGUCGCACAGGAUGUUGAUAACAUGGAAAGAAACCGCUGGUUGGUAAGACCCCUCUCGCCCACGUACGAUCUCCCCAUCCCGGAAGCGGAUAUGGCCAACUAGUUAAGUGAAACGUCUUCAACCAACUACGAUAUUUUAAGUACAACCUAGGUCUCCACUUUCUUUUCCGACACCUCGAACGGUUCCGGUACCUUAGUCUUCUGCCACAUUGCCCGCGUCAGUCCCGUAAGGAGUUUGUGGACGGGACAUUUUGUCUACUUUUAAGUGGGGGUGGUUGCGUGCCGAAAGAUCUCAAGGAUCCGGGUCAUUCAUUUACAAACCCCACGAGAAUCCACGACCAGUCUACGUCCAUAUGGUAAGGAGGGACGACUUUCUUCUCACAUUUUUUUCCGAGAACCCACUGGCGAUACGGUAACACACGCUAUUCUUACACCUUCGGUUUACAAUCUUCAACUACAUGUACGUACGCUGGUCCUCGGGCACUAAAUAGCAAAACGCAAAAAAACAUACACACAACACAUUUCUCAUAAACAGACUACUAAAAUUAUGUAGUAAAACCACACCAACGUUGGAACCGGACGUCGUUGGCUACUAGAGAGUACAUACUGGUCCGUUGGACACAUAUACCAUUUGAACUUUCUCCCUUCUAAACAAGUGAAUGAGGAAAACGUCAAAUGCUGUACCAUACUAAACUUUGACGGUCCGAAUACUAAUAACAAAGUUCAAAAAGGAACAAGACGUACGUCCCCUUUCAUUAAAACCAUAGGGUAUAAGAGGAAAAAGGGCUCAAGGG